CGCGUGGGAACCUGCCAAGCAGUACGGAAUAACCUUUGGAAACGAAGGCUAAUACCGCAUACGCCCUUUUGGGGAAAGAUUUAUCGCUGUUUGAUGGUCCCGCGUCUGACUAGCUUGUUGGUAAGGUAACGGCUUACCAAGGCAACGAUCAGUAGCUGGUCUGAGAGGAUGAUCAGCCACACUGGAACUGAGACACGGUCCAGACUCCUACGGGAGGCAGCAGUGGGGAAUAUUGGACAAUGGGCGCAAGCCUGAUCCAGCAAUGCCGCGUGAGUGAAGAAGGCCCUAGGGUUGUAAAACUCUUUCAAUAGUGAAGAUGAUGACGGUAACUAUAAAAGAAGCACCGGCUAA
Molecule: ribosomal RNA, 351 nt
Filed under: uncultured delta proteobacterium
Lineage: Bacteria; Deltaproteobacteria
Description: bacterial SSU rRNA
Rfam family: Bacterial small subunit ribosomal RNA
Source: RNAcentral